AAGUCCUAUAAAAGGCAACACACCAAACGCGUUUCCAUCAAGGAAUUUGCAGAAAUGAAACUCUUAGCAAUUUUUGUGACUUUGUGCGCCAUUUGCAGCGUUUAUUCUAAAACGCCAACUAAGCCUCAUUCUGUGAUAGCGAGAGAAGGUAUUGUUCAUAGUCCUUCAAAACUGACCAAGAAAGGAGCCUAGUUUAACCGAUUUAUUUCUUGAAUGAAUGCCAAUAAACUGAAAAUGUAAAUAAGAAAAAA
Molecule: long non-coding RNA, 251 nt
Organism: Drosophila nasuta
Lineage: Eukaryota; Metazoa; Arthropoda; Insecta; Diptera; Drosophilidae
Exons: 2
Source: RefSeq, a predicted model, not a curated record